RNAcentral lists this small nuclear RNA (105 nucleotides) under Piliocolobus tephrosceles (Ugandan red Colobus). The record is from RNAcentral. Lineage: Eukaryota; Metazoa; Chordata; Mammalia; Primates; Cercopithecidae.
GUGCUCGCUUUGGCAACACAUACUAAAAUUGGGACGACACAGAAAAGUUUAACAUGGUUCCUGUGCAAGGAUGACAUGAAAAUGAAUGAAGGGUUCCAAUUUUAU